AGCAGCCGCGGUAAUUCCAGCUCCAAUAGCGUAUAUUAAAGUUGUUGCAGUUAAAAAGCUCGUAGUUGAAUUUCGGGAUUCAUCCGUUGGUCGGGCUUCACGGUCCGUACUGGUGUGAUGGGUUCCUACCUUCUGAAUAACCGGCAUGCCAUUAAUUUGGUGCGCCGGGGAAGCAGAACUAUUACCUUGAAAAAAAUUAGAGUGUACUUAAAGCAGGCAAGUGCCUGAAUAGGUUAGCAUGGAAUAAUAAAAUAGGACGGCAUGGUUCUAUUUUGUUGGUUUCUAGGAUCACCGUAAUGAUUAAUAGGGAUAGGUUGGGGGCAUUAGUAUUCAAUUGUCAGAGGUGAAAUUCUUGGAUUUAUUGAAGACUAACUUCUGCGAAAGCAUUUGCCAAGGAUGUUUUCAUUAAUCAAGAACGAAAGUUAGGGGAUCGAAGACGAUCAGAUACCGUCGUAGUCUUAACCAUAAC
Molecule: ribosomal RNA, 469 nt
Filed under: uncultured Acaulospora
Lineage: Eukaryota; Fungi; Glomeromycota; Glomeromycetes; Diversisporales; Acaulosporaceae
Description: SSU rRNA
Rfam family: Eukaryotic small subunit ribosomal RNA
Source: RNAcentral